Molecule: ribosomal RNA, 464 nt
Filed under: uncultured bacterium
Lineage: Bacteria
Description: bacterial SSU rRNA
Rfam family: Bacterial small subunit ribosomal RNA
Source: RNAcentral
CCAGACUCCUACGGGAGGCAGCAGUGAGGAAUAUUGGUCAAUGGGCGGGAGCCUGAACCAGCCAAGCCGCGUGAAGGAAGAAGGCGCCAGGCGUCGUAAACUUCUUUUGUCGGGGAACAAAGGGCGCCACGCGUGGCGUUGUGAGUGUACCCGAAGAAAAAGCAUCGGCUAACUCCGUGCCAGCAGCCGCGGUAAUACGGAAGAUGCGAGCGUUAUCCGGAUUUAUUGGGUUUAAAGGGUGCGUAGGCGGUCGGAAAACAGAGCGGAAAAACCCCGGGGCCCACCCCCGGCGAGCCGUUGAAACUGUCGGACUAGAGACGGCGAGAAGUACGCGGAAUGCGCGGUGUAGCGGUGAAAUGCAUAGAUAUCGCGCAGAACUCCGAUUGCGAAGGCAGCGUACCGGCGCCGGACUGACGCUGAGGCACGAAAGCGUGGGUAUCGAACAGGAUUAGAUACCCCGGUAC